GAAAUGCGAUAAGUAAUGUGAAUUGCAGAAUUCAGUGAAUCAUCGAAUCUUUGAACGCACAUUGCGCCCGCCAGUAUUCUGGCGGGCAUGCCUGUUCGAGCGUCAUUUCAACCCUCAAGCCCCCGGGCUUGGUGUUGGAGAUCGGCAACUGCCCCUUGCGGGUGCGCCGUCUCCCAAAUCUAGUGGCGGUCUCGCUGUAGCUUCCUCUGCGUAGUAAUUCACCUCGCUCUGGAACGCGGCGCGGCCACGCCGUUAAACCCCCCACUUCUGAAGGUUGACCUCGGAUCAGGUAGGACUACCCGCUGAACUUAA
This 312-nucleotide unclassified non-coding RNA is filed under the name uncultured Gliocladiopsis. RNAcentral's name for it is "sequence contains ITS1". The stretch from base 1 to 105 matches the Rfam family "5.8S ribosomal RNA", at positions 50 to 154 of the family's 154-position model. Lineage: Eukaryota; Fungi; Ascomycota; Sordariomycetes; Hypocreales; Nectriaceae. The record is from RNAcentral.